Molecule: ribosomal RNA, 439 nt
Filed under: uncultured bacterium
Lineage: Bacteria
Description: partial 16S ribosomal RNA
Rfam family: Bacterial small subunit ribosomal RNA
Source: RNAcentral
CUACGGGACGCACCAGUGAGGAAUAUUGCACAAUGGGGGGAACCCUGAUGCAGCAACGCCGCGUGGAGGAUGACGCAUUUCGGUGUGUAAACUCCUUUUGUAUGUCAAGAAAAUGACGGUAGCAUAUGAAUAAGCACCGGCUAACUCCGUGCCAGCAGCCGCGGUAAUACGGAGGGUGCAAGCGUUACUCGGAAUCACUGGGCGUAAAGGACGCGUAGGCGGGUUGGAAAGUCAGGUGUGAAAUCCUACAGCUUAACUGUAGAACUGCACUUGAAACUUCUAAUCUAGAGUAUGGGAGGGGGAGGUGGAAUUAGUGGUGUAGGGGUAAAAUCCGUAGAUAUCACUAGGAAUACCUAAAGCGAAGGCGAUCUCCUGGAACAUUACUGACGCUAAGGCGUGAAAGCGUGGGGAGCAAACAGGAUUAGAUACCCCAGUAGUC